Molecule: non-coding RNA, 274 nt
Organism: Pelobates cultripes (western spadefoot toad)
Lineage: Eukaryota; Metazoa; Chordata; Amphibia; Anura; Pelobatidae
Source: the annotation of a GenBank genome assembly
GAGAAAGAGGCCUAAUAUAAAUCAUGCAACAAACGUCAAAUAAGCUAAUAUAUAACUGCACAGAGAGCUUUGACUUCACCUAAACAUUUACAAGCAGUAAAAUAAGUUGAUGCCUAAUCCAGACACGACAUCUGAGGUUAGUGUUUUAUGUAUAUCUUUAAAACAUAUAUAAAAGAUUUUUCUGUAGAUUUUACAACUUAACUCCUUCCUCAUCUAGCUCCAACACCGUACAGGGAAUGGCCACAGGUUUCAUCAAACACAGAGACCAUAUUUG